GUCCGAGACGCGGCUUACCUCCUCCCGAGCCAGCGUCAAUGUGGCGGCAUCCUCCUCCCGCCGCCACGCGUCAUAAGAAGGCGUCUGCCGGAUUUCCUCCCUCGGCAGGCGCCUUAU
This 117-nucleotide small RNA is filed under the name Rhizobium sp. BK529. Its description in RNAcentral is "ar14". It matches the Rfam family "Alphaproteobacterial ar14". From Rfam's summary of the family: Smr14C2 was renamed NfeR1 (Nodule Formation Efficiency RNA) highly expressed in salt stress and during the symbiotic interaction on legume roots. The record is from RNAcentral. Lineage: Bacteria; Pseudomonadati; Pseudomonadota; Alphaproteobacteria; Hyphomicrobiales; Rhizobiaceae.